UACUUGAUCUAUUUGUCCAAUUCUUCCGGGCAUUGGCAAGAAAGGAAAGGUAAGACGGGUCCAGACAUGGUUUGAGGUAGGCCUGCGUGGAAUGUUCCUUUACUUCAAGCUGAUGUGUGUUCCGUUGAUGGUUUUUAAUGUACCAUUGGGCUAGCCUAAACCCUUAGAAGAAUACAGUUCCCGGAGCUCAAUUUGGCAUGAUGGUCUCAAGCUCUAGACUUUUGCCCUUCAAAGAUUUUUGGGUUCUCAAAACUACAACUCAGAAGCAACUAUAUUUCAGUGUCACAUAUUUGAUUCAGAAAGGUGGGCAUGGACGCAAUUUAAUGGUAAGACGAAAGCGAUUCCUUAUCAAUUGGUCUGGGAUGGAGAUUGUGCAAGUAUAAUUGAUUUUCAUGGUGGAAAAGAACCUAGUGCAUAGGAUUGUGGGUUAUGGACAAAAGUUACCGAAAUGAAUGGACAUAGAAACAUAAUGUUUGUGUUAAAAAGCUUAUGCAAAGGCUAUGCCUUUCAUCGGCCAGGCCUUUAGGUUUUUGUAACAGUGAUGUUUUCAAUGCUCAUAGAUGGUAACUCCGACCAGCUGAUAUACUACCAUUUUCAAUUAAAUCAUGGGGCCUAACAAAUUCUGCUUGCACAACAGUUUGUUCCAUUUCGAAUCAGAAUUUGUGUCUAUUAAUUUAAUUCUUCCGGAACAAUCAGAUUUAGAGCCUAUUAAUUUAACUCUUCCCUCGAGCAUUACUUUGACCCUCCUCUUUCCUGUAUCAGUUACUAUGGUCUUCCUCUUUUUAUUCCUAGCCAUUCUGUUUUGUUUUACUAGAUUUAUGACACACAAUUAUAAAGAAGAUUCGACGGUUUUUUUAUCUUGGAUGUAUAUGAUUUUGCAAGGCCUUGGCUAUCUAUCAUUAUUACCUCAAAAGGCAUAUUAUAGCAAUCGACGAUUCCUCCAAUACACAAUUUUUUUUUUCUACCUAGUUUUUUGUUCGACAUAUAUUUCUAAGACAAACAUUUCAACACACCAAAAUUUAACGUCUUUUUGGUGAAUGACUUUAGUUAAAUACUUUAACCUCUGCACAAGUAAAUAUUAUAACCACUCCCAAAAAAUAUAAAUAAUGGUCGUCAAACGGACAAAAACUUCUAUGUACAGAUACAUAUAAGAGUUCAAUUCUUAAUCUUCAACAGUCAUGAAACCUUUCCCCACUUUCACACUUUAAACGAACACCAAGAAUUACAUAAAAAAUAAAAUAAAAUAAAAUUUCCAGCAUCCAAAAAGAUACAGCCACAGCAAAGCUUCACUAAAGGAAAUCAAUGUACAAAAUACACUAUGAACUAAUCUAAAUCCUCAAAGCUUCUCAAGAAAUGGAAGCAGACAAACUGAAUGAACUUAACACAUUACAU
Ziziphus jujuba (common jujube) is the source of this 1392-nucleotide long non-coding RNA. RefSeq lists it as uncharacterized. The transcript is spliced from 2 exons. The record is from RefSeq and is a predicted model, not a curated record. NCBI's taxonomy places the organism in Eukaryota, Viridiplantae, Streptophyta, Magnoliopsida, Rosales, Rhamnaceae.